GACCUCUUUGGCAGAACAUAUAUUAAAAUUUGGAUGAUAUAGAGAACAUUAGCAUGGCCCCUGCCUGAGGAUGAUACUCACAUUCAUUAAGCCUUCCAUAAAAAC
Molecule: small nuclear RNA, 105 nt
Organism: Monodelphis domestica (gray short-tailed opossum)
Lineage: Eukaryota; Metazoa; Chordata; Mammalia; Didelphimorphia; Didelphidae
Source: Ensembl